UUUUUUUUUUUUUUUGAGACAGAGUCUCACCCUGUCACCCAGGCUGGAGUGCAGUGGCGCAAUCUCGGCUUACUGUAACCUCUGCCUCCCUGGUUCAAGCGGUUCUCUUGCCUCAGCCUCCUGAGUAGCUGGGAUUACAGGUGCGUACCACCACGCCCAGCUAGUUUUGUAAAAAACUAGCUAGUUUCACCAUGUUGGCCAGGCUGGUCUUGAACUCCCAACCUCAGGUGAUCUGCCUACCUCGGCCUCCCAAAGUGCUGGGAUUACAGGCAUGAGCCACGGCACCUGGCCUGGUGUACAAUUUUUGUUGAGCCAUGCUGGGGAGUAUAGAAUAAUUGAACUAGGUUGACAACUAGGUUGUCAGUCACUGAAAAAGUGCUAAAAGUCAUUCCGCAAGAGGGUCUUCUUUGGGCGAGGCUAAGUGUUAGCUGUUGGGGAUCAAAGAUUAAUGAUGUGGUCUUUUUUUUUCUUAUGGUUCCACCUUCCAGAAGAUGGAUUCAGAAACAGAUCAUUGUAACACAGUGAAUUAAGUGCUAAAAUAAAACGAUGUGCAGAGUGGAGUACAGAGAGGAUUCCUCAACCCAGCCUGGAGUAAUGCACUCACGGAAGGACUCCUGGAAGAAGGAAUACCCGGGCAAGGAGUUACCCAGGUGAAGGGUUGCACAGGGACAUUUCUGGCAAAGAUGUAAGCAAGGGAAUAAGCCUAGAAGCAAGAAGCAGCACGGGACAGAGUUCUCUUAGCCCUUUGCUGCUGCUUAAGCGCAGUGUUAGAUAAGAAUGAUGAGGAUGAUGUUGGAGAGGUGGGCAGGGAUGACAUGUCUAAGAACUUUGCAAAGUAUAAUCCAUAAAGGAUGGGGCUGUGAAGGAACUGCGAUCAAAGGAGUAAUGUGAUAGGAAUUGCAAUUCUCCCUGGGGCUUGGAGGGAAAGAUGGAUUUAGGGCAGGCAAAACUAAGGACAAGGGAACAGGGGGUUGGGGAUUCCUCAUAUCAUUAGAGUUGAGGGGGACAACUCAGGAAUAUUUUCACAGAAGGAAAACAAAGGCCAGGAGAGGUAAAGGAAUGAGGUCGAGCUAACAAUCUCAGCUUAAGGACAAGACUUGACACUCAAGUGAAAUGGAGGGAAUUAUGGAAAAGAAUCCAGUGGGUUUCAAUGCUUCCCUUGCGUUCCCCAGAGGAUAUGAUGUCAAAAGGAGACUGGAUGUUGGGCUUGCCUGAGCCCUUCGCUUUCCCUCACUCACCCACCCUACCCUAGUUGUUAUACACCAUGGCCUUCGAUUCCAGGGAACACAGACGCUUGUCUCUUGAAGGUGUCUGCUUAGAACCAUGGAUAAGGGUAAAGAAAGAAGGGGAAGGAGAAGUCUUUCUGGAGAAGCAGGAGAUGUUUCCAAGCAAGCGAGGGUCACAGAGAAGAAUUCAGAGAGGCUUGAUCUAGGCAGAGGGCCUCUGAAGUUCUUGGGUCAACUAGUAGGUGAAAAGAACUAGAAGUGACCAGGACUUCACUGCAAGGCACCUACAGCUCUAUCAGUACCUUGGGGCAUCCAUUUGUGCAAUGCAGAUUGCACACUGUAAGACCACACAGAGUGAUCCAGGGCAGCACUAUGAUAUCAAAGAGUGCCCCAGGCCAACAAACAGUAGCCCUUCCUAUAAUCUCCAUCAGUCAUCCACCCAAGUAAUAUACAGGCAAAGUUAAAGCUCAUUAUGCAAUGGCAACUUAAGCAAAUAGUCUAGCCAUUCUCCCUUCUAAGAAAUCAGCCUCAAGAGCUUCUUCUCCAUGGACAUCACAGGGUUUCUCCUGCCCUGUGAUUACAAGUCAAUGCCUUUCCCCUCAAUCAUCUCUUUUCCCUGUUUCCCUCAACACUUACUGGGCUAUGCUGGCUUGGCAAUGUGGACCCACCACAGGAGCCACCUCCCCUGAAUCUUGUUGUCUCGUGGAAGUAGGUGAUGAAGACAGAAGCUCUACCCUCCAAAAGAGCAGGAAGAGAGAGCCCAGCAGGUGGUACGGGGCCUGGAUGAUUUCUCCUGAAGAACACAUGAGUGUCUUGGACCUUGCGCCUGGAGGCCUGGGUGACUGUAAGUAAAUAAGUUAAAUGUUGGGCCCUGGGAGGGUGUAUCCCCUCUGAAGCUUGUUAGACAA
This is a long non-coding RNA of Macaca fascicularis (crab-eating macaque), 2134 nucleotides long. NCBI's taxonomy places the organism in Eukaryota, Metazoa, Chordata, Mammalia, Primates, Cercopithecidae. The record is from Ensembl.